This 324-nucleotide long non-coding RNA is filed under the name Sinocyclocheilus anshuiensis. RNAcentral's name for it is "lncRNA (ENSSANG00000021221.1)". The record is from RNAcentral. Lineage: Eukaryota; Metazoa; Chordata; Actinopteri; Cypriniformes; Cyprinidae.
CUCUGCUGCGCAUGCGCACUUUCACUCCAGGGCUGCUCGUCCUCUGGCUUUGUGUCCAAACCGAAAGUAAACUCAGCAAAGAGACGCGCAUUUAGAAGAUCGCCAUUAAAUCCUAAAUAAUAAGACGAAUAUCGAAGCGGCCAUAAACAUCGCAUUACAGACUGAAGUCAGUUUGUGAUUAUGGAGAGCAGAGAGAGCAGAGAGAGAUCUUCAUCUGCUGAUCACAGCUGUGUGUCUCUGAAGAGUGACGGAUCUAUGGGUCCUCCUCCUGACCUCAGUGAUGAUCCAGUGACCUCUGACCCCAGGAUCUUCAGGAGGAGGAAG